GCUCACUUCGGCAGCGUGUAUUCUAAAAUUGAAACGAUGCAGCAAAGAUUAGCAUGCCCCUGCACAAGGAGAACACGCAAAUUUGUGAAGCGCUCCAUAUUUUG
This is a small nuclear RNA of Nyctereutes procyonoides (raccoon dog), 104 nucleotides long. NCBI's taxonomy places the organism in Eukaryota, Metazoa, Chordata, Mammalia, Carnivora, Canidae. The record is from RefSeq and is a predicted model, not a curated record.